Long non-coding RNA from Neogale vison (American mink), 2564 nucleotides. RefSeq lists it as uncharacterized. The transcript is spliced from 3 exons. The record is from RefSeq and is a predicted model, not a curated record. NCBI's taxonomy places the organism in Eukaryota, Metazoa, Chordata, Mammalia, Carnivora, Mustelidae.
AGAAAGGUGUCAGGCACCUGUUUCUUAAAUAAUAUCUGGAAUUUAACUGUCAUCCCAGAAAGGAAAAGUUUGAUCAAGAUUGGUUUGGGGGAUGCAACACAUUCAAAGCAGAAACUGGCCUCUUAAUUACACUCUGAAAAUAAACAAAUACAAAACGAGCAAGUUAUUUCGUUUACUCAGGAACUCAGUGACAGUUCUUGAAGGACCUCGGAGGACAUACAAGAUGCUGCUGACAACAUCAAAAGAGCAAGCAGAAGCAUCUUCCGUUUCAUUAUUAUUAUUUUUUAAUGUGGACAGAACGGGAGAAGUAAUUUGCUUGGUUUUCCACUGCUACAGAAGAAAUCUCUCUCUCUCUCUCUCUUUUUAAAUCAUGCUUCUCUACGUGUUUUACUAUCUCAGAUUCUAAAAAGAGUCCCAAACCCAAAAGGGGGUAGGGGGUGGCAGGGAUGUGAGGAGGAACAGGUUAGUCUUUAUUUUUUGUUGAAUUAAAAUUGUAUCAUCUCCUUUUUAUUUUUUAUUGAAUUAAAUUAUAUUAUCUUUCAAGGAUAUAAAAACUUGUUUCCUCGCCCCAUCUCCUUUUUGGAGGGUAAUAAAGAGUUUUAUCUAACCCCAGAGCAAGGUUCUCGCGAUUUCCAGGACUGGCGCUGUGCAUCUCCUACUGUGUCCAACAGGGGGCGCUGGUCACGAACCUGCGCCGCGGCUCAGCGCCGCUUCACAUCUGAGCCGGGUUCCAGCCCCGGAAGGCGAGAGCCGCUCGCGGGGUCGAGUACAGAGCUUUAGUCUUCGUGGAUAAAAAGAGAUUAAAGGCUAAAUUCUUUUUUUGGGUGUGUGUGUUGGGGGGGGGAGGGUUAUCAAUUUUAACCAACUACGAAAAUGUAGAGCUUUUUAUCCUUUGAUGUUCUUAUAAAGAAACUCCUAUUGGUUGAGGAAUUACACGGUUUCUGAGCCAACACUGCAGCUACAGUGUGGGGGAAAUUAUUUAAUUAAAAAUAUAUUUUUCCAUCUGUUCACAUGAUCUUUUUAGAAGUACUUAAAAAGCUGACACUGAUCCCUUUGGCCUGUUAACCCUGCCCUAAGUUUCAAAUACUUUAGCUAUUUCGAAGGCCCUUCUAUUAAUUUGAAGGGGAAAAAUAAAAGAGACCCAAAUAUUUAAAUCCCCCCCUAAACAUUUACUGUUCUGCAUCCCCCCCCCUUUUUUCCCCUUAAACAGUGGCUUUUGUGUGAUUGACAUAUUUCACGACUGCCGAUUCUGCAAAGCCAGGUAUAAAUGACAAGAAGCGGCUCUAAAAAAAAAUCUGAUGUUGGACUACAUAACACCCAUGUAUAAGAUGAAAUCUAAAUAAUAUUGUAAUCCACCCACCCCCACCCUAACUUAAAAAAAAAAAAAACCUUCACCUGUAUUUAAAUAGCGUGUCUUUAAUUACAGCAGUUGGGGAUGCAUGAGGCUGAAAUGAAAUUAGCAGUCAUUACCAGUCCUUUAACUCUGUGGUGCUUUUGAUCAGCACUAAAUUAGCUUUCCAGUCCUAACAAAGACUCUACAGCAAGCAGUGGGCUGUAAAUAAGACAGCGCGACCUGCCCUCAACACCUUUUCUCUUGUCAAUCAUAGCUCUAUCAUUCAGCCCAAGAUUAACCUUUAUCUACCAAAUUUAAAAAAAAAAAAAAAGAACGAAAGAAAGAAGAAAAAGAGAAAAGAAAAAGGAGGCCGGAAGGAAAGGCCCCUGACCACCGCAUAUCGCAAUAACUGAGGUUCCUAGGAGGCCCCUUUAAAUUGUAUUCUAAUGUAAUGAGUUUGUGUCAGAAUCUGCAAUUUCCAAAUCAUGCCCCCCCCCCCCAGCCUCCAAGACCUCUUCAGUAUAUUAGAAGAGUCACAAUGCUGUUCAGGUAGGAAAGGAAUCCCUUUCUCCAUAUUACUAAUUGAGCAUGGGCCACCCUCCCUAAGUCAACUGGCCAGUAGCCUCUCCUCUAUUAGUCUAACAAAAUUUUGGGAGAGGAGGAGAUGUUUGAGGAGAAAACACUGAUAAUUUUAAGGCAUAUACAUAAGUUUCUGGGAUGAAAACAAUCAAUUUACUCCACUAAUAGUCUCUAGUUUCUAAGCCUGCGGAGAAAAACCACCAACAGCAACAACAAAAACCCAGCUGCUUUUCCCAGUACUGAAUUAAAAAAGUAAAACAUUGAUUCAUAUUGCCAUUAGAGGGCGCCAGAGAGCAAGCCCAUCACCUCUCGCACAACUUCCCACAGAAGCACUCCUAGCUUCCAGCUCCGCCAUGCUCUGUGAUUCCUUCUCUCAGAGUUUCUGGAUAGAGCUAUACAGACAGUCUAGUCUGUGGACAUUUCGGAAUUUGAAAGCUGCUGGCCUCAAGAGUGCUGCUGGGGUAUGUCCACUGGGCAUUCAUGCUAACAGUCCAGGUUCCUGAGCAGAAGUGAAAAUUAGGUUUGAUGACAAGGCUUGGAAAAGGGAGAAGAGCUGAGGAGAAAGACAGUAAGCACUCAAUAAAUGGUUGUUGGUAGUUACUAGGUGGUGAUGGCAUGGUUAACAAAUCUUUCUUAAGGCAUCAGGGAAAUA